UAACAUUUCAAAGAUGGUACUGUUUUAGGGG
This 31-nucleotide non-coding RNA is filed under the name Rattus norvegicus (Norway rat). The record is from RNAcentral. Lineage: Eukaryota; Metazoa; Chordata; Mammalia; Rodentia; Muridae.